Vicia villosa (hairy vetch) is the source of this 1926-nucleotide long non-coding RNA. RefSeq lists it as uncharacterized. The record is from RefSeq and is a predicted model, not a curated record. The transcript is spliced from 3 exons. NCBI's taxonomy places the organism in Eukaryota, Viridiplantae, Streptophyta, Magnoliopsida, Fabales, Fabaceae.
AUUCAGCCUGAAUAAAAAAAAGUAAACCUAGUUCCUUUCAUAUCCUCUCCAAAGAAACGAAAAAUCCUCUUCUUCCUUGCACUCUUUCUCUCUUUUUCCUUUUAAUUCGUUUACAAUCUAUUUCUUAAUCUAUGUAGAACCUUCAGAUAAUUCAAGUUUAAACCCUAACAAUAAUGAGAAGUUUGACAAACUUAUCGAUAUCAUUGUUAAUAUCAAUCCCUACCAAUCAACCCUACCAAUCGCUUGAUCCUUCAUUUUUGUUCCGUUUUGCCGCAAAUCUGUAGUGCGUAGUUCCGAAAUCGGUCGUUCUACUGCUCCAAUCGUCCGUUCAACUGCUCCAGUAAGGUUUUUUACUGCUCGACAAUCCCCAAUUUCGCAAUCGGCCAAUUUCAAGGAUCAAACCAAGUGCCCCCCAAUCCAGCAUACGCAUGUGAAAUGGUUCUGUCAUGUUUAUAAAAAUAAGAAGGGCGAGUGAUAUACAAAAUAGAGAUGCCUAAGCACAUGAAUAAUUCUGGUAUAUAAUCAAUAAUUAUGCCAAGCUUUAUUUUCUCAUAGUGUAAUGAUUAAGAAACACCUAAUUAUAUGAUUUACUUCUUCACACAUAAAAUGUGUCACUUUGGGAUGAUAAUAUUUAUCAAUCUAUACCAUUAAUUUCUAAAGAGAAUUUCUUCAUUUAUGGAUUCCAUGGAAUUAACUUGUCUUUAUGUGCUUUGUAAAUAAUCUUGCGCAUUACAUUUUGUUAAGAUACCAAACCCUAUAGUAUUAGAAUUCUCUAUAAUUUGUGCGAGAGAGUGAACUGUAGCAAACAUAAAGAAACCUUUCUAAACUAAUCCAUAUAGAUAUUAUUUAUGUUUAAGUAUUGUUGUAAAACUUCAUUGUUUAUAUGCAAACAAAAUACUUCAGUUCACCUCUUCAUCACUAGCUAUAGCUAAUGACUCAUCUCUUCCUUAACUUCUAGAAACAGUACUUCUAGCUCUGCUUCUGUUAGUGACUCUAAUCGUUUCUACAUAUUCAAUAGAAGCAAGCUUAUUCUAUGACAUUAAGUAUUGAGAAAAAGAAACAAUGUUAACAAAUAUCUUGGUGAAGACACAAGUUUCAGUUCAUAUACUAUAGAUCGCUCAUCUUAAAGGGAGAACAGUAAAUGAAGAUGUGUUAUGUUGUCUCAUAAGAGUUCAUGCAAAGGAGGCAGACGGAGACCAUGUGGCAGCCUUGAGCUCGGUGCUGAAAGAGUGAGAAAGAGGGAUUAAACUACACCACGUCUUCUUAUCUUAAGCCUUGAUUUCAGUUGGAGGAUGAAGGUGCAAGUAGUAAUCUUUGGCUCUUAGUUCUCUGUCUUAGGUUUGCUUCUAGACAAGCUUGUCGGAAAAGUUGCGCAGGAGGUCUCAUGUGUUUGGAUUUGGACCAACAAUGAAGAUAGUAAUUUAAAUCAGAUGCCCCAGCCUUUUGUUUUGGUGGAUUCUUAGCCGAAUCAACUUAUUACUCAUGAAGACCGGACACCUCCUUCAUAGCUCAACAGUGAGGAAUAUACGUAUAGUUAUGGUGAUUUGGUUUUGGGAGACAACUCUCAUAGAGGAAUAGGUUUCCCUGCUGAACAUUAUAAGACCCCAAAUGGCAUUGGCACAUCAUCUAAAUGGAUGCUACUGUCAACCUCAAAAGAUUAAAGUCUUCUAAAGAAUCCAUGGUACUAUUAUGCACCCCUCAUGUCAAAGAUCCAAUGUUAUUCACGUAGUCUUAUGUUUUUAUUUUAAGUUUAUUGUUUUGGCUUAUUGAAUUUAAUUUUACUAUUUGAUAAUCAAAAGCUUUGAGAUUUUCAGUUAAACAAUGUUGUAGUCUCAAAUAUCCUUGUAUUUAUAUCAUUAAUUACCUGUAAAAGAUGUAGUCCCUUGAUUAUUUGGGCUGGAUGGUGGAAAUAGUUUGGCUUGGAAA